This 353-nucleotide long non-coding RNA is filed under the name Anas platyrhynchos platyrhynchos (common mallard). RNAcentral's name for it is "lncRNA (ENSAPLG00000028656.1)". Lineage: Eukaryota; Metazoa; Chordata; Aves; Anseriformes; Anatidae. The record is from RNAcentral.
AGCAUCCCCACCUUGGCUGGCCAGGCACUGCACUGUGGAGCAGGGGGUGUAUGGAGUAAACCUGGCUUGGAGAGGGGACAGAGCACACCUGAGGGAAGUGGCACAGGAGAAAAUACAUGUUGGGUCUUGCUGUGGCUGCUGCUGUCUGGUUCUCCCUGGAACUGGACCCUGCCCGCUGUGCUGGUGAGCCCUGGCCCCGUUUGCACCCUGCAGCCCGGGACAGCCGAGCCCUCUCCCCAGAUGCAGACUGGUGGAAAAUCUUGACAGAGGAAUGGAGCAGCUUUCCUACAUCUAGUACCUGUCUGCAGAGCAGAGGAUGUGAAAGAUGGAUGUCAGGAGCUCGCCUUGUUUAG